Molecule: long non-coding RNA, 1695 nt
Organism: Prinia subflava (tawny-flanked prinia)
Lineage: Eukaryota; Metazoa; Chordata; Aves; Passeriformes; Cisticolidae
Exons: 3
Source: RefSeq, a predicted model, not a curated record
CAGCAAAUAAGAGUCUGGCACAGCCAGAGCUAUCUUUUGGUUAUAACCAUGGCCCAUUUCUCACCCACACAGAGAGCAAGCUGUUCCACUUGCAGCAGGGUUAAAGAAAAUCAGCAGAAAUGUCAGCAAACCGUUUCACACGCCCACAGCCCUUUGUGUGGUGGCACAGGAUGGUGUCAGAGUCACUCAGCAUCCAGGCUGCUCCUGUCAUCUGGGAGAAAUCAAGAAAUUCUCCAGACACGAGGAAUUGCUGUCCAAAUGUGCUGCUGCAUCCCACAUGGGCACAUCAAAGGCUGCUGAAAGCUCAUCUGGGCACGUCAGAGGAGCUGCAGUUGCACUUUUGACUCACAGGCUGCUAAAGAUAACUCAGGGGAUGGGAAGGGGAAUAGGUGAAUGGACUUUGUUAUCUUCCAUGCCCUGAAUCAUGAAACGUGCUCUUUUAAAGCUGGCUCAACAUGGAAUUUUAAAUUAAACUUUUGGCUCUGGUUUACUGCUUUGCUGCACAAGUUUUUGACCAGUGAGUGGAGUAGUAGUGAGCUAAAAUUGCAAAAGAAAAUCUGGGAAAGUGGGCACAAACAUGAACUGCAGAGUUGGAAGCCAUUUGUGUUUCAGUGGAUUUGCUGUGUUUGUGCAAAUCAAAUGAAAAUAAAUAAAACAGAUGUUUGUGUUGGGAAAAGGCUGCCUUAGCUUUUACCUCCAGGUUUUGGUAAACCUGGGAGCUUUGUGUUUCUCAAGAACAGAUCAUCAAGGCUUCAUCACCACCCCCUUGCACUGCCAGGGACAAAUCUCACAGCAAACAGGGUGAGAUCUCCUCACCCAGCAGUGGGGAGAGCUCCUGUCUGGGGAGGGCCUUAUCCCUCCUGAGCAUGGCUCCCAGGAAAGGGAGAUUAAAUCUGCUUUUCCAAGGUGUGCACACAGGGAUGGAUCACACAGCCUGGAUCUGUCGCGGUGUGAUUCUCCUCUGUCCCAGGGCACACAGCGGCCAGGGGUGGGACACCUUCCCCCUGGGGAGCUGUCACCUCCCCACCCAGGGACUCCGAGAUUCUCGGCAGUGCCUAUCUCGGGCCCAGAGAUGGGUCUUGGAAUAAACUAAAGAGGUUUAUUGAAGAUAUUAGCAACUGAAAGCCAAGACCCCAAGAAGCCCCAAGCAGGGCUCGGGCAGUGGGUUUUAUACAGCAGGUUUGGGGGGGGGGAUAAAGGGAGUGGUAAAGUUACAACAACAAAUUAGGGUUUGUAUCUAGGGUGUUACAUCAGUGGGUAAAGCUAACAAAGACCAAUCCAGAAGAUGUGGGAUGGGUUUACAUAAAGCGGGAAAGGUGAUGGACAGAUAGCUGAAAGUUACAUAAUAUAACAGGAGCACGCAGAAAUUAAAGCAACUGAGGGAGACAAAGGAAUAUUAAUGAAGGGGGUAGGGGUACAUAGAACUGGGUUUAUUAAAGCAAAUAUAAGAAACUAAACAAACCUAUUUAAUGCACCGCCACAUGGAUCAGAUCCCAGCUCCUUGCUCAGAGCACUGUACCAGAUCCUGAUCAGGGCUGGAUGUAAGGAGUUCAAACCUAGGAUUGCUGAGAAAUCCAAGAGCUCUCUUUGGCUGUUCCUUCUGCCAUUCCAUCAACCAGAAACGUCUUCACUGUGACUGCAAACUGUUCAAAGUCCUUUCUUCUGUCCACUUUGGAUUAACUCCAUCUAGGGGUU